AGUGGCGGGCUCUGGGUGACGGUGGUUCAGCCACCUUUGUCUGUCGACUUCUAGCUGGGCAGCUCCUUCUCUGUGGUCAGGGUAGCCCUGUGGCUGACGCUGCAGUCAUUGGGCUGAAGCUGUCCCCUGAGUCCCCAAAGUUGCCCUGCAUCUGCGCCUCUGGCUAGGCUGCCCCAAACUACCUGGGGUAGUGGGGGGCAGCUGUGGUGGUGACACAGCUACCCCUGCAGAAAACCUGUGGAGCGCCUACCUGGAGAAGGGUGACAUUGUGGAGAAGCAUGGGCUGCCCUCCGCAGAUGCCCCAAGCCUGAAGGAGAGCCUGCCUCUGUACGUGGUCGCCGACAUCGCCACAUCCUUCACCGUGCUGGUCGGCAUCUUCUUCCCUUCUGUAACAGGUGAGCCCUGCCUGCCUACCCACCCAGCCCUGUCCCUGAUCCCGGGGAGCCCCUGAGGGAGUCUCAUCUGUUUUUGGAGGCAUCAUGGCUGGCUCAAACCGCUCUGGGGACCUUCGUGACGCCCAGAAGUCUAUCCCUGUGGGGACCAUUCUGGCCAUCAUUACAACUUCCCUCGUGUACUUCAGCAGUGUGGUUCUCUUUGGCGCCUGCAUUGAGGGUGUGGUUCUCCGGGACAAGUAUGGCGAUGGUGUCAGCAGGAACUUGGUGGUGGGCACACUGGCCUGGCCUUCACCCUGGGUCAUCGUCAUCGGCUCCUUCUUUUCAACGUGUGGCGCUGGCCUCCAGAGCCUCACAGGGGCACCACGCCUAUUGCAGGCCAUUGCCAAGGACAACAUCAUCCCCUUCCUCCGGGUGUUUGGCCACGGGAAGGUGAAUGGUGAACCCACAUGGGCACUCCUCCUGACGGCACUCAUCGCCGAGCUGGGCAUCCUCAUCGCCUCCCUCGACAUGGUGGCCCCCAUCUUAUCCAUG
Molecule: small RNA, 926 nt
Filed under: Pan troglodytes (chimpanzee)
Lineage: Eukaryota; Metazoa; Chordata; Mammalia; Primates; Hominidae
Description: retained intron
Source: RNAcentral